AAGUCCCGUAACGAGCGCAACCCUUGUCCUGUGUUGCAAACCGAAAGGUGCACUCUCAGGAGACCGCCAGCGAUAAGUUGGAGGAAGGUGGGGAUGACGUCAAGUCAUCAUGGCCUUUAUGUCCAGGGCUACACACGUGCUACAAUGGUCGGUACAAAGCGCUGCAAACCCGCGAGGGGGAGCUAAUCGCAAAAAGCCGAUCUCAGUUCGGAUUGCAGGUUGCAACUCGCCUGCAUGAAGCUGGAAUCGCUAGUAAUGGCGUAUCAGAACGACGCCGUGAAUACGUUCCCGGGCCUUGUACACACCGCCCGU
This 312-nucleotide ribosomal RNA is filed under the name uncultured soil bacterium. RNAcentral describes it as "bacterial SSU rRNA". It matches the Rfam family "Bacterial small subunit ribosomal RNA", at positions 1082 to 1397 of the family's 1533-position model. The record is from RNAcentral.